Molecule: long non-coding RNA, 597 nt
Organism: Priapulus caudatus
Lineage: Eukaryota; Metazoa; Priapulida; Priapulimorpha; Priapulimorphida; Priapulidae
Exons: 3
Source: RefSeq, a predicted model, not a curated record
CCCCAGUAGUGUUGCCACUAAUUAUGUGAACGUAUGUAGCACUAACAGUGAUCGAAUGCGUGACAGUGCGCGGUGGUGGUGGCAGCGGUGAGCGUGGGGACAUAGUCCGACACACGGCUACGCUAGAGAGGUACCGACGAACCAGAACUCAAGGAACCAGUGAGAAACGAGAAAAACGUUAUUCAUAUUAGCUUCUCACUACGUAAGCAAGAAGGUGCGUGGCUCUUCGACGUGAAGUAGUCGUAGGUCCUGGUCCCCGGGCUACACUAGCAACGCUUCGGUUAGCAACUAACAGCUAGCACGAGGUGGUAAAGAAACAGUGCGUGUACAGAGAAAUCUCCUGCGUGUUUAUAGAGGAAGGAGUCCACGGUGCGUGUUUAUAGAGGAAGGAGUCCACCGUGCGUGUGUAUAGCGGAAGGAGAGAUGAAGAAGGAAAGAAAGAUCUUCGUCUGGCUCGUGUUCAUCGUGGUGCUGGUGAUCGGUUCGCACUUCCUAGCGGAGUACAUACGCCAAGACGAUCACUCGCUUCGAUUAUCGAUACCUGAAUCCUCGGCGAGGGAGGUCAGAGCGUGGGAGGAGCUGGAGAGGGAGACAGAG